Molecule: ribosomal RNA, 258 nt
Filed under: uncultured Leptotrichia sp.
Lineage: Bacteria; Fusobacteriati; Fusobacteriota; Fusobacteriia; Fusobacteriales; Leptotrichiaceae
Description: partial 16S ribosomal RNA
Rfam family: Bacterial small subunit ribosomal RNA
Source: RNAcentral
UGGCGGACGGGUGAGUAACGCGUAAGAACUUGCCCUUUAGACUGGGAUAACAGAGGGAAACUUCUGAUAAUACUGGAUAAGUUAGUAUAUCGCAUGAUAUGCAAAUGAAAGCUACGGCACUAAAGGAGAGCUUUGCGUCCUAUUAGCUAGUUGGUAAGGUAAGAGCUUACCAAGGCGAUGAUAGGUAGCCGGCCUGAGAGGGUGGACGGCCACAAGGGGACUGAGAUACGGCCCUUACUCCUACGGGAGGCAGCAGUG